GACGAACGCUGGCGGCGUGCCUAAUACAUGCAAGUCGAGCGGAAUGAUGAAGAAGCUUGCUUCUUCUGAUUUUAGCGGCGGACGGGUGAGUAACACGUGGGCAACCUACCUUGUAGAUUGGGAUAACUCCGGGAAACCGGGGCUAAUACCGAAUAAUCCAUUUUGCUUCGUGGCGAGAUGUUGAAAGACGGUUUCGGCUGUCACUACAAGAUGGGCCCGCGGCGCAUUAGCUAGUUGGUAGGGUAAUGGCCUACCAAGGCGACGAUGCGUAGCCGACCUGAGAGGGUGAUCGGCCACACUGGGACUGAGACACGGCCCAGACUCCUACGGGAGGCAGCAGUAGGGAAUCUUCCACAAUGGACGAAAGUCUGAUGGAGCAACGCCGCGUGAGUGAAGAAGGUUUUCGGAUCGUAAAACUCUGUUGUAAGGGAAGAACACGUACGAGAGUAACUGCUCGUACCUUGACGGUACCUUAUUAGAAAGCCACGGCUAACUACGUG
Molecule: ribosomal RNA, 500 nt
Filed under: uncultured bacterium
Lineage: Bacteria
Description: bacterial SSU rRNA
Rfam family: Bacterial small subunit ribosomal RNA
Source: RNAcentral